Molecule: long non-coding RNA, 483 nt
Filed under: Prunus dulcis (almond)
Lineage: Eukaryota; Viridiplantae; Streptophyta; Magnoliopsida; Rosales; Rosaceae
Description: sRNA ncRNA
Source: RNAcentral
AUGCAGAAUUGUUGGGGUUUCAAAUUAGGUUUGAAUAUUACAGAUACUCAGAAGGUUCGAUGGUCACAAUUUAGCACUUCUGAGGCAUCCCAGCUUUCAUGGUUAUUUCCUACAAUCAUGCUCAUUCCGUCCAAAUCGCUCCAGAUUUCCGUCGAGUAGCUGCAGAUUUCUUGCUGCAAUAAUGUAGAGUUUUUUGGGUAUGAAAAUGAUAGGAACCUGACGUUCAAAAGCAAGAAAUCAAUUGUUGACAAAAUAGGGAUUGGGUCUUCUGACAUUGGGUUGCUAGAGUGCAAUUCCACACGUACAGGUAUUUUUAAUUUAUGUAUUUCAAUUUGAAUAAUCUACUUUGUGUGUUGUUGUUUUUGCAUUUGUUUUGGUAUGAAGUCAUCAUUUUACCUAUUAUCAACAAAUAGGAAUUGGAUCUCUAACAUUGGGCACACAAUUGUCAAAUGUCAAUCAGAGAUUGGGUAUCAGACGUGGUGA